GAAAGAGAGAGGGGGAUAGAGAGAGAGAUGGGGACUGUAAUUAUGAAUAUGCGAGAGAGUAAGAAGGAAGGAAUUAAGUGUGAUGACCGGGAGAGAGAGAAAAUGGAGAGAAAGGAGGAUGGAUAAGUAGACAUAAUAAAUGUUUGAGGAAAGAAGGUGAUAUACGGCAGGGACUGAGAGAGAUGGAGGGAGGUGGAGAGAGAGGAAGGAAGGUGAUAUACGGCAGGGACUGAGAGAGAUGGAGGGAGGGAGGUGGAGAGAGAGGAAGGAAGGUGAUAUACGGCAGGGACUGAGAGAGAUGGAGGGAGGGAGGUGGAGAGAGAGGAAGGAAGGUGAUAUACGGCAGGGACUGAGAGAGAUGGAGGGAGGGAGGUGGAGAGAGAGGAAGGAAGGUGAUAUACGGCAGGGACUGAGAGAGAUGGAGGAAGGGAGGUGGAGAGAGAGGAAGGAAGGUGAUAUACGGCAGGGACUGAGAGAGAUGGAGGGAGGGAGGUGGAGAGAGAGGAAGGAAGGUGAUAUACGGCAGGGACUGAGAGAGAUGGAGGAAGGGAGGUGGAGAGAGAGGAAGGAAGGUGAUAUACGGCAGGGACUGAGAGAGAUGGAGGGAGGGAGGUGGAGAGAGAGGAAGGAAGGUGAUAUACGGCAGGGACUGAGAGAGAUGGAGGGAGGGAGGUGGAGAGAGAGGAAGGAAGGUGAUAUACGGCAGGGACUGAGAGAGAUGGAGGGAGGGAGGUGGAGAGAGAGGAAGGAAGGUGAUAUACGGCAGGGACUGAGAGAGAUGGAGGGAGGGAGGUGGAGAGAGAGGAAAGAAGGUGAUAUACGGAAGGGACUGAGAGAGAUGGAGGGAGGUGGAGAGAGAGGAAGGAAGGUGAUAUACGGCAGGGACUGAGAGAGAUGGAGGGAGGGAGGUGGAGAGAGAGGAAGGAAGGUGAUAUACGGCAGGGACUGAGAGAGAUGGAGGAAGGGAGGUGGAGAGAGAGGAAGGAAGGUGAUAUACAGCAGGGACUGAGAGAUGGAGGAAGGGAGGUGGAGAGAGAGAGCAAGGGAUUGGUGUAUAGCAUAAUUACUUUAAUGAAUCCCAACAGGACCCUUUAGAUACAUCUCUUGGGAUAAGAGACAAAGAGAUGGGGGAGGGGAGAGAGAGUGAAAUAAAGAGAGACCAUGAUAGACUGCUACAAAGGGAAAGCGAGCGAAAAGCUAAAAUACAGAGAUCAAAUAACACAAACACAAAGCAUUUGGAUUAUUCUGGAAUAAUAUGUGUAUCUGAUGAUGACAUGGAAAGAGCAGAGACCUGCUAAACAGCAGAGAUCUUCUAGAAUCCUAGUACAGUACAGCUCUGGGGUGCCUGGUGACUAACAAACAAGCCUUCUUCUCUACUGUCAGUCCAUUUCAUCAACUCUCUUCAAAUAUUCAUAGCAUUUCUACCUCAUCUUUCUCCCUUUCGCCCGUGAACCACUAAAUAUGGUUGUUGUUCUCCAGCUAUCUUUUUCCUGCACCAACACACACACACACACACACACACACACACACACACACACACACACACACACACACACACACACACACACACACACACACACACACACACACACACACACACACACACACACACACACACACACUAGUGCCAACCCUGUCGCAGCCAGCCAAACACGCGUGUCUUGCCUGAGGCCUCUAGCCAGCACUGGAGGUUAGAUAGGGGUUACAUUUAAAUUGAAAUUGAACGGAGGAUUAGAUUACCAGUUCUGGGAGACAGACUGGGGUUAGGAUUAAAGGACCCCUAUAACCACACGCAGAGCACCGAGUCA
Long non-coding RNA from Oncorhynchus keta (chum salmon), 1808 nucleotides. RefSeq lists it as uncharacterized. The record is from RefSeq and is a predicted model, not a curated record. The transcript is spliced from 5 exons. Lineage: Eukaryota; Metazoa; Chordata; Actinopteri; Salmoniformes; Salmonidae.